This is a long non-coding RNA of Erpetoichthys calabaricus (reedfish), 1028 nucleotides long. RefSeq lists it as uncharacterized. The record is from RefSeq and is a predicted model, not a curated record. NCBI's taxonomy places the organism in Eukaryota, Metazoa, Chordata, Cladistia, Polypteriformes, Polypteridae. The transcript is spliced from 2 exons.
GUUCUCCCCAUGUCUGCGUGGGUUUCCUCUCACAGUCCAAAGACAUGCAGGUUAGGUGCAUUGGCGAUCCUAAAUUGUCCCUAGAGUGUGCUUGGUGUGUGGUGGGCUGGUGCCCUGCUCAGGAUUUGUUCCUGCCUUGUGCCCUGUGUUGGCUGGGAUUGGCUCCAGCAGAUCCCUGUGACCCUGUAGUUAGGAUAUAGCGGGAUGGAUGGAUGGAAUUUGUAAGGAAAAAGAGUUUUUUCCAUUUCCCUUUUGUUGUCACAAACAUGUGCCGGAAACACGGAAGGCACAGAUCAAUACUCGACGGACGUAUUUGGUAGGUUUUUAAGCUUUUCCUCCGUGCCCUAGAGCCUCCACUGUAAAGUGCCACAGCAGGUAGGACAUUUCUUUAAAUUUAAAGAAAGCGAUUAACUUUGGAACAUAAUUUCACGUGGCUAUCACAUCUGUAAGGAAAUAACUUUGAUAUGAAAAACACAGAACCUUUAAUAAAAAUGAAUGCGCUUCCCCAGCCCACAGAACGCUUUGAACUGAACACAAGCCGUCACUGCGCUCCUCCAGAAACGUGUGCCGGUUGGAGCAAAUUAAAAAUCCGCGUUGACUCCCGACGUGUCACAUAAAGCUUUGAUGGUAUCAGAGGGACUCGACAGUGCAGUGUAAACGGGAGUUUGAGACUUUGGGUGAUUUUGUUUUAUUUUCUAUACAUUCUGUACAGUCUUUUCUGUUUUAUUUGUAUGUGUUUUCAUUCAUUAUUUGAGGUAAAGAAUGAUCAGAGAUCCUGCAGUAACUUUAAAGCCGCUGGUUUGGCUUUAGCUUAUAAAAGCUGCUGCUGGCGAGCCCCAUGGCCAUUUGUUCACAACUUCCAAAUCACGACGUCUACUCUGAUCGCUUCCCAGCAAACUCGUCGGAGGCCUCGAGAGGAUCGCAUUGGCUUCUCGAGCAGACUGAUGAUAUCGUAGAAAGCGGCGGCGGCGGCUGGAAGAGGAAGGGCGCCCAUGUUGCUGGCAGUGUGGGUGAAGAUAAUGUAACCU